UGAUUUUAAGUUGAGUUGUUUCCCUGUGAGAGAUGAGCAGCAGGCAGCUGAUCAGAGUGCGAGAUUGUGAUAGUGCGAGUGCGUCACGCGGCGCGGCUUGGCGAGGCUCGCGUUAUCGUGCAUCGCGUGCAUUUUCAUAUUUGUUAAUAUACUGUUCAGUGUUAACCGUUCGCUGCUGUGGUGGUGACUGGCGGAUGUGGUGGCGUGGUUGCAGUGUGUGGGGCUCGUGAACCACCACCAGGGCGUCUCCACAGCGGCUGCCCUUUGUUGGCGAGGCACCAUGGGCGCAGGGCGGGGGUGGAGGCGUCAUGACGAACCUGAAUUACAGCCACGCAUGCCCACGGGUCUGCCAGCACGCCCUACACCCAUACACCCUUUAAUACACUCCUGUGACCACGAUAGGGAGAGGAGUCAUCACCACCACCACCACCACCACCACCACCUGUAAUCAACGGCCACUACACAGCAGAGUGCUGACCAUCACCACCAGUCACCUGACGCCACGUGGUAAAGUUACAAGCUGUACGUGUGUCACGCGUCACCGGCAGGACUCCACCAGACGUGGCUCCAUCUGCACGGCGCGGCACGGCACGGCACGGACACAGCCACUCCGCCGCCUCCAGACGUGGCCGCCCACGCCGAUUCCAGUGGCCCGUUUCAAUCGCUGAGUUGUGACCGAUGUCCCGUAGCAGACUAAGUGCAGUGCGGUGUAUUUCAUUAAUAUUACCACGGCACUGAUACAGUGAGUGACAGAGAGGGAAGGAUUUAAUGCUGUGUAGCACAGCCUUCUUGAUAAGGUGGAAUGAAUAAUGGAUCGCUUGAAAGAUUCAAUACCAAUUGAGAAAUCAUCAAUGGAAUUGUCUAUCAAAUCAUGUCAAUGUGUACGUACCUGUCAGCGUGCUGCCCUCCAAGAUCAGCCUGAAGGCGUGCGCCCGUGGGUGAUGGGGCCUUGCGCGCCUCUCCCUACACACUCAUGUUUUUUUUCUGCUUUGUUGGUAUCAGGGACUUCAGUGGCGGGAACCCAAGCUUCGCGUAACACAGCUCUGCACACGUCGUUAUGCGAACUCUCACAGCUGUGUGAUGCUCCAGACAGGUCUUAGAAUCCCACUGCAGCAAGACUGAGCCGUACAAGACUGAUGGCAUCAAGGUUGCUUCAAGCAUUUUUCUUUAAAUAAAAAGGAAUGUCAAUAUUAUUAUUCCAGAAAGAAAAACAAACUUAAGGGUGUGGCACGUCGUGGCGUGGUUGUAGGCGUGGGCGGCGAUGGCAGAUGACAACUUGCCGUCACUUGUAGGAACAUUUCCUUGACACACGUGCUUGCUGCACCACUCCACCACCAUCUGGCCUUCCAGGAGCGGCUCACGCUCUCUCUCCGAGGCUUGGAUUGCAAAAAAAUCUUAGUUUUGUUGUUAUUUACAACCCUACCGCUGUCUGUAUAAAACUGAUGUAGCAGUGCAAGCUUAUGUUCCGUCCCGCGGCGCGUCGUGGCGAGGAGAGCGGCACCUUCCACAAGGACGAGCAGAUGCAGCCAAUCCAAAAUUCCGUCUGGAACACAACCAGACUUUAUCAGAUUUAUCAUAUUAUUUACCAAAUUAACGAACAGUACACAGAUGUUGGGGACCCUUGCCUGGCGCUGAUCUUUUCCUCUACGAGUGCUGCACCAAUCACACUCAGUCACACGUGCGACCUGCGCACCAUUUCACGCAACACACGAGCGAGGCACACGCUCAUGGGCCAUCGACAAAUCGACGAAGCAUGCAUAUAGUUUGCAUUUUUUUUCUUAAGGGCGACACUCCAAUUAAGUCUCAACGUGACGUGCUGAGUGUAGCUCCUGUCCUGUUUGCUUCCAGCCUGCUCCAUGCGUGGGGUGAACCACAGACUCAAGCGAGUUGGCAGCACCAUGUCAGACAGCUUCGCCAAAGCAUUGAUGAUAUUCAUACCACGAUAAUUCUUAGUUAGCGAUCACUUGCCUUUCUUAAAUAUGAUGACCAUACGUGCCCCCUGCCUGUGGUAAGAGUCGAAGGAAAGUAGUCUUUAACGACUCAAGCAUGAAGUUUAUCCAUUGGGCUGCUAACAAUUUUAUUACUCCUGGCCUUACACCGUCGGGGCCGCAAGCCUCACCUUGCUCUAGUUGAUGAGUCUCCGUUAUUAAUUAACAUAAUGUGAUAUCACCAUCAAGAACUGGUAUACUAGUUGCAAACACACACACACACACACACACAAACCGUGCUUCCCCGCACACCCAUCGCCGCCCAUAGUGAUGCCCAGCCUCGGGAGUUCCCCCAGCCUCCAGGGCUUUCCUCCCGACGCUCCGUGCCUUCACCCUUACCUGCAGCACUGAGCCUUGUCUGGGAGGCGCCACACACCACCAAGCUCAUAUAAUUUCUUUCAGUUUUCAUUGUAAAACACUGCCACUUGUCACUGUAUUCCCCCACACUCCGUAACCACUAAGAACCUAUUAGUAUUAACAUGUUUAUUUUCAGUCUCGCGACUGCAACAUUAAUAACCCGUUUAUUAGUAUUGUUA
Molecule: long non-coding RNA, 2524 nt
Organism: Scylla paramamosain (green mud crab)
Lineage: Eukaryota; Metazoa; Arthropoda; Malacostraca; Decapoda; Portunidae
Exons: 4
Source: RefSeq, a predicted model, not a curated record